Long non-coding RNA from Drosophila rhopaloa, 505 nucleotides. RefSeq lists it as uncharacterized. Lineage: Eukaryota; Metazoa; Arthropoda; Insecta; Diptera; Drosophilidae. The record is from RefSeq and is a predicted model, not a curated record. The transcript has 2 exons.
UCCAUCUCCCCACAGCGACAACUCACUCGCACAUUUCAGUCUUCAUGUACAUUUUAAUUAUCACCCCUUUACGACCAAACUUGGCCACCGUCUACAAAUUUACGCGGUCAAAGCGGAAGAUUACCUUCCUUUGGUAAAGGCUACAGGCGCCGCGGAAAAUAUGUUCCACCAGUCACGUAUUGGUGGAACUCACAGUGGAACGAGGCGCAAAAAAGGGCACACACUAGGUAUGUGUCGGGUCACCUAAUCCUGAGGAGCUCCUAGGGAAAAGAAGGAACAGGCCAAACGGUAAGUAGUACGCGCUGUAAACAAUCCCGUCGAAAACUAAUAAUCGCGACUCUUUUUCAAAGGAAACAACGAGGACAAAUUGAGGUUUUCGGGUCUAAGUCCGGAUAAAUAUACAGGUCAACAGGUAAGUACAUAAAUUUAGUAAUGUGCACAUUUAAAUUAACAUUAAUGAUUUCAGCCACUUCUGGGCUAGGCGCCGGGCCAACUAUGCCCCGAC